AUUGAACGCUGGCGGCAGGCCUAACACAUGCAAGUCGAACGGUAACAGGAAGAAGCUUGCUUCUUUGCUGACGAGUGGCGGACGGGUGAGUAAUGUCUGGGAAACUGCCUGAUGGAGGGGGAUAACUACUGGAAACGGUAGCUAAUACCGCAUAACGUCGCAAGACCAAAAAGGGGGACCUUCGGGCCUCUUGCCAUCGGAUGUGCCCAGAUGGGAUUAGCUAGUAGGUGGGGUAACGGCUCACCUAGGCGACGAUCCCUAGCUGGUCUGAGAGGAUGACCAGCCACACUGGAACUGAGACACGGUCCAGACUCCUACGGGAGGCAGCAGUGGGGAAUAUUGCACAAUGGGCGCAAGCCUGAUGCAGCCAUGCCGCGUGUAUGAAGAAGGCCUUCGGGUUGUAAAGUACUUUCAGCGGGGAGGAAGGGAGUAAAGUUAAUACCUUGGCUCAUUGACGUUACCCGCAGAAGAAGCACCGGCUAACUACGUG
RNAcentral lists this ribosomal RNA (490 nucleotides) under uncultured bacterium. Its description in RNAcentral is "partial 16S ribosomal RNA". It matches the Rfam family "Bacterial small subunit ribosomal RNA", at positions 30 to 507 of the family's 1533-position model. The record is from RNAcentral.